RNAcentral lists this long non-coding RNA (228 nucleotides) under Vigna radiata. RNAcentral's name for it is "long non-coding RNA (VRAD_LNC001340)". The record is from RNAcentral. Lineage: Eukaryota; Viridiplantae; Streptophyta; Magnoliopsida; Fabales; Fabaceae.
GCUCUGAGUGCUGCCCGGUCACGGCGUUCGUCAAUGGUAUCGAGCUCCACUCUUAGGACCUCGUCGUUUAUCUGCAUAUCAUCCAACCCUCUGCGCAAUGACGGUUCACCUAACUCAACCGGGAGCAUAGCAUCAACCCCAUAGGUCAAGUUAAAAGGAGUUUCCCCCGUGGUUCCGUGUGGCGUACAUCUAUACCCCCACAACACUUCCGGGAGCUCUUCUACCCAC